Molecule: ribosomal RNA, 253 nt
Filed under: uncultured bacterium
Lineage: Bacteria
Description: partial 16S ribosomal RNA
Rfam family: Bacterial small subunit ribosomal RNA
Source: RNAcentral
CACGUAGGGCGCAAGCGUUGUCCGGAAUUAUUGGGCGUAAAGAGCUCGUAGGCGGUCUGUUGCGUCCGCUGUGAAAACCCGGGGCUUAACCCUGGGCUGGCAGUGGAUACGGACAGAUUAGAGGUAGGUAGGGGAGAAUGGAAUUCCCGGUGUAGCGGUGAAAUGCGCAGAUAUCGGGAGGAACACCGGUGGCGAAGGCGGUUCUCUGGGCCUUACCUGACGCUGAGGAGCGAAAGCGUGGGGAGCGAACAGG